RNAcentral lists this transfer RNA (65 nucleotides) under Ochthebius remotus. RNAcentral describes it as "tRNA-Phe". Lineage: Eukaryota; Metazoa; Arthropoda; Insecta; Coleoptera; Hydraenidae. The record is from RNAcentral.
AUUUAAAUAGCUUAUAAAGAGUAUAAUAUUGAAGAUAUUAAGGAGAUUUUUUAAAUCUUUAAAUA